AUUGAACGCUGGCGGCAUGCCUUACACAUGCAAGUCGAACGGCAGCGGGGGAGAAGCUUGCUUUUCCUGCCGGCGAGUGGCGAACGGGUGAGUAAUACAUCGGAACGUGCCCUGUAGUGGGGGAUAACUAGUCGAAAGAUUAGCUAAUACCGCAUACGACCUGAGGGUGAAAGUGGGGGACCGCAAGGCCUCAUGCUAUAGGAGCGGCCGAUGUCUGAUUAGCUAGUUGGUGGGGUAAAGGCCUACCAAGGCGACGAUCAGUAGCUGGUCUGAGAGGACGAUCGGCCAAACUGGGACUGAGACACGGCCCAGACUCCUACGGGAGGCAACAGUGGGGAAUUUUGGACAAUGGGCGAAAGCCUGAUCCAGCAAUGCCGCGUGUGUGAAGAAGGCCUUCGGGUUGUAAAGCACUUUUGUCCGGAAAGAAAUGGCUCUGGUUAAUACCUGGGGUCGAUGACGGUACCGGAAGAAUAAGGACCGGCUAACUACGUGCCAGCCGCCGCAGUAA
Molecule: ribosomal RNA, 508 nt
Filed under: uncultured bacterium
Lineage: Bacteria
Description: partial 16S ribosomal RNA
Rfam family: Bacterial small subunit ribosomal RNA
Source: RNAcentral